This 253-nucleotide ribosomal RNA is filed under the name uncultured bacterium. Its description in RNAcentral is "partial 16S ribosomal RNA". It matches the Rfam family "Bacterial small subunit ribosomal RNA", at positions 524 to 776 of the family's 1533-position model. The record is from RNAcentral.
UACAGGGGGUGCAAACGUUGCUCGGAAUCAUUGGGCGUAAAGCGCACGUAGGCGGUUCGUUAUGUCGGAUGUGAAAGCCCUUGGCUUAACCGAGGAAGUGCAUCCGAAACUGGCGAGCUAGAGUACGAAAGAGGAUCGCGGAAUUCCAGGUGUAGCGGUGAAAUGCGUAGAUAUCUGGAGGAACACCGGUGGCGAAGGCGGCGUUCUGGACUGCAACUGACACUGAGGAACGAAAGCCAGGGGAGCAAACGGG